Molecule: ribosomal RNA, 714 nt
Filed under: Micrococcineae bacterium 226-FB
Lineage: Bacteria; Bacillati; Actinomycetota; Actinomycetes; Micrococcales
Description: bacterial SSU rRNA
Rfam family: Bacterial small subunit ribosomal RNA
Source: RNAcentral
AAACGACGYCYARUACCGGAUAUGACCUGUGACGGCAUCGUCUGCAGGUGGAAAGAAUUUUGGUCAAGGAUGGACUCGCGGCCUAUCAGGUAGUUGGUGAGGUAACGGCUCACCAAGCCGACGACGGGUAGCCGGCCUGAGAGGGUGACCGGCCACACUGRGACUGAGACACGGCCCAGACUCCUACGGGAGGCAGCAGUGGGGAAUAUUGCACAAUGGGCGAAAGCCUGAUGCAGCAACGCCGCGUGAGGGACGACGGCCUUCGGGUUGUAAACCUCUUUUAGUUGGGAAGAAGGGAGCUUGCUCUUGACGGUACCAGCAGAAAAAGCACCGGCUAACUACGUGCCAGCAGCCGCGGUAAUACGUAGGGUGCAAGCGUUGUCCGGAAUUAUUGGGCGUAAAGAGCUCGUAGGCGGUUUGUCGCGUCUGCUGUGAAAUCUGGGGGCUCAACCCCCAGCCUGCAGUGGGUACGGGCAGACUAGAGUGCGGUAGGGGAGAUUGGAAUUCCUGGUGUAGCGGUGGAAUGCGCAGAUAUCAGGAGGAACACCGAUGGCGAAGGCAGAUCUCUGGGCCGUUACUGACGCUGAGGAGCGAAAGCAUGGGGAGCGAACAGGAUUAGAUACCCUGGUAGUCCAUGCCGUAAACGUUGGGAACUAGAUGUAGGGGCCAUUCCACGGUUUCUGUGUCGCAGCUAACGCAUUAAGUUCCCCGCCU